GACGAACGCUGGCGGCGUGCUUAACACAUGCAAGUCGAACGGAAAGGCCCUGCUUUUGCGGGGUUCUCGAGUGGCGCACGGGUGAGUAACACGCGAGUAACCUGCCCCUGUCUUUCGGAUAACUUCAGGAAACUGGGGCUAAUACCCGAUAGGAUCUCCUGCUGCAUGGUGGGGGUUGGAAAGUUUCGGCGGUUCGGGCUGGACUCGCGGCUUAUCAGCUUCUUGGUGGGGUAGUGGCUUACCAAGGCUUUGACGGGUAGCCGGCCUGAGAGGGUGACCGGCCACAUGAGGACUGAGAUAGGGCCCAGAAUCGUACGGGAGGCAACAGGGGGGAAUAUUGCACAAUGGGCGGACGCCUGAGACAGCAGCGCCGCGUGCGGGAUGACGGCCUACGGGUUGAAAACCGCUGUCGCCGGUGACGAAGCGUGAGUGACGGUAAUGAGUAAAGAAGCACCGGCUAACUACGUG
RNAcentral lists this ribosomal RNA (468 nucleotides) under uncultured bacterium. RNAcentral describes it as "partial 16S ribosomal RNA". It matches the Rfam family "Bacterial small subunit ribosomal RNA", at positions 28 to 507 of the family's 1533-position model. The record is from RNAcentral.